UACGUAGGGUGCAAGCGUUGUCCGGAAUUAUUGGGCGAAAAGAGCUCGUAGGCGGUUUGUCGCGUCUGCUGUGAAAACUCGGGGCUUAACUCCGGGCCUGCAGUGGGUACGGGCAGACUAGAGUGCGGUAGGGGAGACUGGAAUUCCUGGUGUAGCGGUGAAAUGCGCAGAUAUCAGGAGGAACACCAAUGGCGAAGGCAGCUCGCUGGGACGUGACUGACGCUGAGACGCGAAAGCGUGGGGAGCAAACAGG
This 253-nucleotide ribosomal RNA is filed under the name uncultured bacterium. RNAcentral's name for it is "partial 16S ribosomal RNA". It matches the Rfam family "Bacterial small subunit ribosomal RNA", at positions 524 to 776 of the family's 1533-position model. The record is from RNAcentral.